Centruroides sculpturatus (bark scorpion) is the source of this 3659-nucleotide long non-coding RNA. RefSeq lists it as uncharacterized. The transcript is spliced from 5 exons. The record is from RefSeq and is a predicted model, not a curated record. Lineage: Eukaryota; Metazoa; Arthropoda; Arachnida; Scorpiones; Buthidae.
CCUGCUUUAUUUUCAUUAGUUAUUUAAAUCGAAUUAAUUAUAAUUAAUCUUAUAAAUGUAAUUGUAGUUAAAAUUGCGUAAAAGAGCAAUCUCCUCCAUCGUCUGUUUGCAUCCGGCGCCAUCUUGUUUUUUUCUGAUCAAGGCUUCGUGAUGAUAAUAAUAAUAAUAAUAAUAAUAAUAAUAAUAACUGCUUUUAUGCUAAUUUAUUGUAUAAAAUAUGUUAUAAUUUAAUAAAUUUCAGGUUUAUUGAAUAGAUUUUUAUGCCUUUAAAAGUUGCUAUUUUAUAAUAAGAGAGAGUAAUAGUGAUGUGUAGUAUAUACGGGCGCCAUUUUGUUUUCUGAGAAUAAUAACUGCUUUUAUUCUAUUUUCAGGUUAUUUAUGGGGUAAAACACGUUGUAAUUUAAUAAAUUAAAGGUUUCUCGAAUAUAUUUUAUGCUUUAAAAGUUGCUAUUUUAUAAUAACAGGCUCAGGAAGAGAGUUGAACUCUAUAUAACGAAUUGAUGUGAGAAAAGAGACUUAAAAUAAUGCUUCUGCUAUAUACACGAGGUUUACUACGCUUUAUUAAUGGGGUGUGCGGAUCGAUAAUAGAAGAAGAUGUACCCACGAUGAGAGAGAGAGAGAGGAUGUAGGCACACAGAAAGGGAGAGAAAAACAGGAGGAGUAUCAAUCUUAUCAUCCAGGAAAUUGGCUCUAAUGAAACAAGAUAAGAGACAUUACCCGAAAUACUGAAAUAUCAUGAAACAAGAUAAAUUCCAUAACAUCAAGGAACAUCAUAAAUUUAACGUUGACGUAUAAGUUGAGUGAUUUUGACAACUCACGUUUUUAUGAUCAGCGUCUAAACUGUCCCACAUGGACGCGACAAUUUUGGACACUUCACCAAAACUGGCGUUUGGAUUCUGUCCUUUGAUAGCUGCUUGAGUAUCCCGGAAGAAAAGUGCAUAGGCAGACACUGGUCUGUUACAAAGGAAAAAAAUAUAUAUAUAAUACAAUGGAAAUAUGCUUUUUAUCUUGAUGUUACGAGUCUAAUCGUGUUUACAAACAGAAAAUUCAUGUUCCAGUACAACUGUAAGUACUGUACUUUAAUCUUUGCUGCUUAAGAAGUUAUCAGAUUGCUUAUAAAAAUGCCAUUUUUUAAAAAUUAGUUUUAGUGUGGUUAAUCACUAAAAUAUGCAGUUGUAUGCAACAACUGUAUGCCUUUAAUGAUUAGAAACAAACCUAAUACACUAUUUUAAGUUACAGAUGAGAGAAAAUUCAUCUGGGAUCAUGCUCAUGACAAGAAAUUGAGAUUUAAUUACAGAAAAUUCAAGUGUUAUCCCACUUGUACGUACUAAAAUGCAGCAUUUUUAAAGCCUACUAUAGUUAAGAAGAAAAACAUACAAUUCAAUAUAUAAAUCCAAUCAUAUUUAUAGCAAGAGGAUAGUUAAUGUCCAACUAGACUGAAGAGGAUCCAAGUGAAAACAUAAAUCUCUUAUUACUAAACAAAAAUAUAGAAUUUUACGUUUUAUAAUAGUCGAAACGGUAGGAGAAACUCUCCGGAAGAUGGAAAAGCUUUAGGGACGAAAACGUGGCCCAGGCAAGAUGGUAUGUAAUAUGGAAUGACAGUUUAAGUACUGGUUAACACGAAAUCCAGAAGUCAUUGAGGCGAGAAUGCGCUUAAUUCUUAAUUAGAGAAAAGUAUAUAGCGGGAAGAGGGGCAAUAUGUCAAAAUGAUAUAAAGGAAAGAUUGCUACGUGCUUUGAAGGUUUUUCGAAUUUUAAGAAUUAAAGUCACCAUCAAGAAGGAGAAAAAUGAAGAUAGUGAAAAGUAGGUACGACUACAAUUUUCCGUUAAGAAAUGACAAUUCAAAAUGUUCAUGGUGUAUCAAAUUGAUCAAAUUCUCCAGACGGAAGGUUAAACGAGGUGUUGCUUCGAUUCGAGGUAUGUAUUAAAUUCUGGCUGCGUUUGAAUUCGGAAUAUUCACUCUUCGAAAGUCUGUGUGAGAGAUUUUAUUAUAUUUCCUUUUUGUUUUAUUCUUUAUGCCCACCUGUGAACUAAUGGAACACUAGUAGCAACACUGGCGCAUGACCAACAGUUGACCACGUGGUGUUUUUCGAGUUUUCUUCACGUAUCUAACACCUAAAUAGGAUACAGUUUCCUAUUAGAAAGUGCUCUCGGGAGGCACCCUUUUUUUUGGCAGAUCGCCCACGUGUUGGGUUGCAUUUAUUCCAUCAAUUCAUUCGUUCAUUAUUUUAUACUUCCUGUUAAUUGUAUUCGUUUUAAACGCAUUAUUAAUGUUUUUAAUUCUUAAAACCAGUUUAUUAAAUCCAAUUUUUUUUCUGAAUACUCCUUUCAAACGUCUUAAAUUUGACAUAAUUGAAAUUUUGUUUAGUUUGUACACGGCAAAGAGACAUAUGGGCGAUCUGUCUGCAGGGUGGCACCCGAGAUGAGUUUCUAUGAAAAACCAGUCUCAAUUUUGGUGUUACAAACGUGUAGAAAACCCGGAAAACUCCACUUGGCCAUCCCAUUUGCGACUCGCGAACCCACGACCAAGUGUUCGGUAGGUUUAUCCAAAUUCAAUCAUUGGUGGGCUUUAAAAUUAAUUAAAGAUUCUUAUUAUUUUUUUCAUAAUUUCGUUAACACAAUAGCCAUUUGUCAAUACCCUGGAUAUCAUUAUUAGAACUUUAAUUGGGCCAAGUUUUGUAUCUCAUUUUAACGUCAUUGGAAUACGAGUUUUGAAAUUUUCCAUUACAGUAUUUAUUCAGCAGAAUCGAUCACUCGAGGUAGCGAUGUUAUUGUUAAAUUUUACCGUUUUAAUUUUUAAAUGCUAUUUAUUUCGGGAUAAUUGAUUAAUACGCCGUGGCGCGAGGCGUUUUUGCAUCUCAUUAUGCAAAUUUCUCGAAACGUUUUCGAUUUCAUUGGACGGAUUUAUUUACGUCAUCGUAAACGUCAACAAAAUACAAACUUUUCAAACUUGGGCUAUUUAUUUGUCGAAAUUACACACACACACACACACACAGAUAUACGUGUGACAUUUUAAUAAAUACAUCCAAUAAAAAGGCAGGAUACGAAAGGGCACACACAUACACACACAAAAAAAAGAAUGUUUCGAAUUUGAAUUUCAAUUUCAUUGGUUUAAUUGGCCAAUCGUAUGUUGAUAUUUAAAUAUUUAAAUUUUCAAAUCUGGUCAAUUUAAUUGGCCGCCUUAUUCACGUGACGGCUUACGACUCAUUACGUCGCCGACAUCGGCCAAUUAACUUACAAGAAACAUUACACGUCACGCAUUAACAUGUAGUCAUAAUUUGUCAAAACGACGUCGUCUACCAAUUAAACGGCGACAAAUAAAUUCUCUUUUAAUUAAUAUCAAGAAAUUCGUUUAAGGUUUAUUACGUUUGGGAGCAAUAUAGCAGAAAGCUGGGACAGAUCAGUUGAUAGGAAGUAAUCAAUGGUACAAUAUUGUCGCGUGUCGAGCAGUUUAUCGCCGUCACACAGAAAAUAAGUGUUAAUCAGCCCAUCUAGAAAGCGUUAUAUGACAGGCAAAAGGAUCAACAUGGAUUAAUGUUUUGUAGGAAUGUUUAAUAGCCGGACAGUCUCCCGAGAGUAGAGUAUGCAAUCAAAAACUCGCUAAUGGAGGCUUUUCAAAUACAUUAUUCAUAUAUGUCAAGACAUUGUGUUUGAACGGG